This 345-nucleotide ribosomal RNA is filed under the name Triticum aestivum (bread wheat). RNAcentral's name for it is "partial small subunit ribosomal RNA". Lineage: Eukaryota; Viridiplantae; Streptophyta; Magnoliopsida; Poales; Poaceae. The record is from RNAcentral.
AUGCUCAGCUCAGCUCAGCUCGACGGCAUGCUUGACAGCAGGCAUGCGUGUAGCCGUGUACAGCCGGCUGGUUUCGAGCUGCAGACAUGUAUGUAUCGGUCUCUUGUAUCCAGUGGCAUAGGACUGAAUGCUUUACAGAAGGCGUUCAUGUACAGUCGGCUAGCUGGUCGCACAUGGAGCCUGCCUUGCCGCCAUGGAGUGAAGGAGUGCUGGGCUCUUUUCGGUGGCUCGAGAACACUGCAUUCGGUGAAGAUGUUUAGUGAUGCAGAGUGCACACAUGUGUAUCCAGGGGCUGUUUUACAUGGACUGGUAGCAACUGGAGAUACAGAUGAGUCGGUUGGUUGA